Ictidomys tridecemlineatus (thirteen-lined ground squirrel) is the source of this 504-nucleotide non-coding RNA. NCBI's taxonomy places the organism in Eukaryota, Metazoa, Chordata, Mammalia, Rodentia, Sciuridae. The record is from RefSeq and is a predicted model, not a curated record.
CAGAAGAGAGUUAAAGUAUCCACACUACAUAACAUCAAGACUCUCUAUAAAACUACAUAAAACAAGACAGAUUUUGUGACAGAAGAGAGUACAGAAAUAGACGCACGUCAUGGAAUAGACUAAAACAGAAACAGGAAGAUUCUAAAUUUUAUUUAGAAUACUGACAUGGUUUUAAGGAAUCCUGCUCUCCUGUCAAUGAUCUCUCCUCACAUAUAUGAAUUUUCAGAGAUUGGACCUGGGAACACUUCAUUCACCAGAUAUCUGUGGACAUUCAAAGCACUACACUUCAUAAUUAAAUUUUGGUAUUUCUUCAAAAUUAAAAACAUGACAUUUUCAAAUUCAAAGAAAUGCUUAGAAUAAAAAGUAAGAGUAUGCACAGAUCUAUGAGCUACUUUUAAAAUGAGUAGAAAGGUUAGAAAUAGAGCAAAGCAUGUACAAUACCUUGGAUUAUGACAAGGUUGGAAUGACUUUGCAGACUUUCCAAUAAAUUGUGACCAACUCAAA